RNAcentral lists this ribosomal RNA (374 nucleotides) under uncultured bacterium. Its description in RNAcentral is "bacterial SSU rRNA". It matches the Rfam family "Bacterial small subunit ribosomal RNA", at positions 527 to 898 of the family's 1533-position model. The record is from RNAcentral.
GUAGGGGACAAGCGUUAUCCGGAUUUACUGGGCGUAAAGCGCCCGUAGGCGGCCUAUCAAGUUGGAUGUGAAAGCUCCCGGCUUAACUGGGAGAGGUCAUUCAAAACUGGCAGGCUAGAGGAUGGAAGAGGAGAGCGGAAUUCCCGGUGUAGUGGUGGAAUGCGUAGAGAUCGGGAGGAACACCAGUGGCGAAAGCGGCUCUCUGGUCCGUACCUGACGCUGAGGGGCGAAAGCGUGGGGAGCGAACGGGAUUAGAUACCCCGGUAGUCCACGCUGUAAACGAUGGAUACUAGGUGUAGGCGGUCAUUAACCCCGUCUGUGCCGCAGCCAACGCGUUAAGUAUCCCGCCUGGGGAGUACGGCCGCAAGGUUAAA